UUGACCUCGAAUCAGGUAGGAAUACCCGCUGAACUUAAGCAUAUCAAUAAGCGGAGGAAAAGAAACCAACCGGGAUUACCUCAGUAACGGCGAGUGAAGCGGUAACAGCUCAAAUUUGAAAUCUGGCUCCUUCGGAGUCCGAGUUGUAAUUUGUAGAAGAUGCUUUGGGUGUCGAGUUCGGCCUAAGUUCCUUGGAACAGGACGUCAUAGAGGGUGAGAAUCCCGUAUGUGGCCGAGGCCCGCGCCUAUGUAAAGCUCUUUCAACGAGUCGAGUUGUUUGGGAAUGCAGCUCAAAAUGGGUGGUAAAUUUCAUCUAAAGCUAAAUAUGGGCCAGAGACCGAUAGCGCACAAGUAGAGUGAUCGAAAGAUGAAAAGCACUUUGGAAAGAGAGUUAAACAGUACGUGAAAUUGUUGAAAGGGAAGCGCUUGCAACCAGACUUGGGCGCUGCCGAUCACCCCGAGUUCUCUCAGGUGCACUCGACAGCGCACAGGCCAGCAUCGGUUCGGGUGGCUGGAUAAAGGCCGUAGGAACGUGGCUCCCUUCGAGGAGUGUUAUAGCCUACGGUGCCAUGCAGCCCAGCCGGACCGAGGACCGCGCCUUCGGGCUAGGAUGCUGGCGUAAUGGUUGUAAGCGACCCGUCUUGAAACACGGACCAAGGAGUCUAACAUCUAUGCGAGUGUUUGGGUGGUAAACCCAUACGCGGAAUGA
This 709-nucleotide ribosomal RNA is filed under the name Erysiphe azaleae. RNAcentral's name for it is "partial 28S ribosomal RNA". It matches the Rfam family "Eukaryotic large subunit ribosomal RNA", at positions 1 to 722 of the family's 3401-position model. Lineage: Eukaryota; Fungi; Ascomycota; Leotiomycetes; Helotiales; Erysiphaceae. The record is from RNAcentral.